UGAAUUGAAUCCUCACAAGCUAACAAGCAGCCAUGCCUCCACUUGCCAAUCAAGAGCUGAGACAUCGAUCUUACCACUAUUUCCAAUUAAGAGUCGAUUCCCAUAUCCUCUAAUGUCGGCCGUUGGAUAGACAUUCAUAGCUAUGCUCGCAUGCCAAUCAUCUCUUGCACAAAUAGUCAAUCAAUAUCAAUCUCUCUUCAAUUUGGUCAAGUCUAACUCUGUUGUCCACCUCUCCAAGAUGUGGUUUUUCCUCCUUUUCUUUCUCUACCAUAAUCAGUGUAUUUCAAGCCCGGAUUCUGUCUGUAAAUUCCACUAAUCUAUCCAUUUUCAUAGAAAGUGAAAGUUUACACAACAUAAGGUAAUUUGAACAAAAUAUUACAUGGAUUUUUUUAAAGUGUUUUAUUUUUUAAAAUUUGUUUGUUCAUGGAAUGACUGCUGUUAAUGUGUUGUUGUUGAUAUUAUUGAUUAUGCCAUUAAAGUUUACCCAAUUCAAGUUAUUGUUUGAUUGUGUUUGACUAAACUUUUUCUUUGCAGUGUUGCUGUUAUUGAUUGAGAUUGGAUAGACUUCAACCACUCAAUUUUCAAAAUUUUUUAAAACCCAUCCUAUCUAAUUGGAUUAGAUUGCGACAAAAGUUUUUUUUUUUUGCUUUUUUCAUUAUCUUCAUCGCUGCAACUUUGUUACCAUCUGCAAGUAUGCAACUUUUGUUUCAAUAAUUAUUCUUUUCCAAUGAAGGCUAAACCGAUGAAUUCAGUUAUUUAAUUUAAUUCAGUUCAGUUUCUGUUCUCAAAAAAUUCAGUUAUUUCAGUUUUGGUCAAUUUUCAGACCUGACUGACUGAUGCACACCCCUAAGAAUGAGAAAGAGGUCAACUGAUUUUAAGGCUUUUGAUGCAUCUUUUUUACAGAUAUUUUACUUUUGAGUUGGAAUUCAUAGAGAAACAAAAUCCUGUCCUGAGUAACAAUUGCAGCAGACAUAUUACAAUAUACAUCACAAAAGUGUAUGUAAUCACCAUAAAAGCCUGGACUGACUAGGAAAA
This 1035-nucleotide unclassified non-coding RNA is filed under the name Hevea brasiliensis (rubber tree). Lineage: Eukaryota; Viridiplantae; Streptophyta; Magnoliopsida; Malpighiales; Euphorbiaceae. The record is from RNAcentral.